This 403-nucleotide ribosomal RNA is filed under the name bacterium. RNAcentral describes it as "partial 16S ribosomal RNA". It matches the Rfam family "Bacterial small subunit ribosomal RNA", at positions 355 to 776 of the family's 1533-position model. The record is from RNAcentral.
UGGGGAAUAUUGCACAAUGGAGGGAACUCUGAUGCAGCGACGCCGCGUGAACGAAGAAGGCUUUCGAGUCGUAAAGUUCUUUUAUAUGGGAAGAUAAUGACGGUACCAUAUGAAAAAGCCCCGGCUAACUACGUGCCAGCAGCCGCGGUAAUACGUAGGGGGCUAGCGUUGUCCGGAAUCACUGGGCGUAAAGGGUUCGCAGGGGGAAAUGCAAGUCAGGUGUAAAAGGCAGUAGCUUAACUACUGUAAGCAUUUGAAACUGCAUAUCUUGAGAAGAGUAAAGGUAAGUGGAAUUUUUAUUGUAACGGUGAAAUGCGUAGAUAUUAAAAAGAAUACCGGUGGCGAAGGCAGGUUACUUGGCUCAUUCUGACGCUGAGGAACGAAAGCGUGGGUAGCAAACAGG